AAGAGGGGGCAUUCAAACAAAGGAUGGAUGGCUCUACUUAAACAACAGCCUCAUCCUCAGGACCAAGCACUGUCUAUCAUUUCAGACCUCCAGACCUCACAUUGGCAGGUGGAUUUCUACUUAAACAACAGCCUCAUCCUCAGGACCAAGCACUGUCUAUCAUUUCAGACCUCCAGACCUCACAUUGGCAGGUGGAUUUCUACUUAAACAACAGCCUCAUCCUCAGGACCAAGCACUGUCUAUCAUUUCAGACCUCCAGACCUCACAUUGGCAGGUGGAUUUCUACUUAAACAACAGCCUCAUCCUCAGGACCAAGCACUGCCUAUCAUUUCAGACCUCCAGACCUCACAUCGGCAGGUGGAUUUCUACUUAAACAACAGCCUCAUCCUCAGGACCAAGCACUGUCUAUCAUUUCAGACCUCCAGACCUCACAUUGGCAGGUGGAUUUCUACUUAAACAACAGCCUCAUCCUCAGGACCAAGCACUGUCUAUCAUUUCAGACCACCAGACCUCACAUUGGCAGGUGGAUUUCACUCACAUGCCCACUCAUAAAGAACUCCGUUACCUCCUGGCCCUUGAUGACACUUGCUCCCACCUCCAGGGAGACAGCAGAUGUGGAGGCCCAGGUACUCCUGGACCACAUCAUCUUUCCAACGGACAAUGAGCCAGCCUUCACUUUCAGGGUCAUAGAGUUUGUUUCAGAAGCUCUCAACUUUUCCUGGAAGCUCCACAUCUACCAUCCACAAUCCUCGGGAAAGGUAGAGACGGCUAAUGGACUCAUCAAACAACAGCUAAUCAAGCUCUCCACUGGACCACGUUAUCUUGGCCAUCCCUUGUCCCCACUGCCCUUACCUGCCUCCGGGUCACCCCACGUUCUCCCACAGGCCUAAGCCCUUUUGAGCUCCUUUAUGGAAGGCCCUUCCUCCUUAAUCACCAGCUCCCAGCCCAGACUCCUCCAUUGGCUGGGCACCUUCCCUGCCUCUUCCUUCUGAGGUCCCUUCUCUGCUCACAUGCUGAUGGUUAUCUCCCUGCCUCUACACCAAUGGGCCAAACUGCCCCUGAGCCUGCCCUGCUCUCCCCAGGGGACAGAGUUCUCCUCAAACAGCUUGCUCCUAAGUCUCUCCAGCCCUGGUGGACAGGACCCUACGCUGUGAUCCAAGCCACCCCUUCGGCUGCCGAGCUCCUAGGACAUCCAUGCUGGUACCUGGUACCUCCUCUCCAGGCUUAAAUGGACACUUGGUCUGUCCAGCAGCUGGGACCCCCACCCUCUGGUUUUCCAAGAUGCCACAAUAAAGGGCCCAUUUGCUCUUUUUCCUGACACAUUCACCUUCGUCAGUACAAUUAGGGCCGAUGACAACAAUCUAUUUUUUUUUCUCCUAGCAACCUGUCUUGUCCACCUCAAGGAACAGGUGCCUGAGGUUUCCAGGAUGGCAGCUAACCAGAUGCUUCUUCACCCACGCCUUCCACUGAGCGUGAACCCACCAACUCCGGACUCUCCCGCUCCCCCACACCUUCCCUUGUCAGCAGGAAGAAACCAGACACGACCAGUGUGCAUAUACCCAAAGAGUCUGGGAUGCUAUGGUAAAACCUUUGCCCCAGCCCCCGGCAUCCAGAUACCCAAAGAGUCUGGGAUGUUAAGGUAGAGGGUCCACCCAAACCCCCUCCCCCAUCCCCCUUCAAACCCUGCUGAGGCUCAGAAAGCUCGACAAAUGAUGCCCCCCCAGAUGCUCAAGACCACUCCCAUAGGGUAUUUAAACUGCCCUCCAGAAAACAGACAUGUGGUUUUCCGGUCCCCCUUUCCCGUCUCCUCUCUGGGGGGACUGGAAGGCCAUCUGGGAGUGUUGUGUCCAUUAAACAUGGGCUUUUUCUAA
Mesocricetus auratus (golden hamster) is the source of this 1871-nucleotide long non-coding RNA. RefSeq lists it as uncharacterized. The transcript has 2 exons. The record is from RefSeq and is a predicted model, not a curated record. Lineage: Eukaryota; Metazoa; Chordata; Mammalia; Rodentia; Cricetidae.